This 598-nucleotide ribosomal RNA is filed under the name uncultured Actinomycetes bacterium. RNAcentral's name for it is "bacterial SSU rRNA". It matches the Rfam family "Bacterial small subunit ribosomal RNA", at positions 28 to 643 of the family's 1533-position model. The record is from RNAcentral. Lineage: Bacteria; Bacillati; Actinomycetota; Actinomycetes.
GACGAACGCUGGCGGCGUGCUUAACACAUGCAAGUCGAACGGUAAGGCUCUUCGGAGUACACGAGUGGCGAACGGGUGCGUAACACGUGACCAACCUACCCCUAACAUCGGGAUAACAUUUGGAAACAGAUGCUAAUACCGGAUACGAACUUAGAAGGCAUCUUCUGAGUUGGAAAGCUCCGGCGGUUAGGGAUGGGGUCGCGGCCUAUCAGCUUGUUGGUGAGGUAAUGGCUCACCAAGGCGACGACGGGUAGCCGGCCUGAGAGGGCGACCGGCCACACUGGGACUGAGAUACGGCCCAGACUCCUACGGGAGGCAGCAGUGGGGAAUAUUGCACAAUGGGCGCAAGCCUGAUGCAGCAACGCCGCGUGCGGGAUGACGGCCUUCGGGUUGUAAACCGCUUUCAGCAGGGACGAAGUGAAAAUGACGGUACCUGCAAAAGAAGCAUCGGCCAACUACGUGCCAGCAGCCGCGGUGAUACGUAGGAUGCGAGCGUUGUCCGGAAUUAUUGGGCGUAAAGAGCUUGUAGGCGGUCUGUCACGUCGAAAGUGAAAACUCAGGGCUCAACCCUGAGCCUGCUUUCGAUACGGGCAGACUA